UACGAAGGGGGCUAGCGUUGCUCGGAAUCACUGGGCGUAAAGGGUGCGUAGGCGGGUUUUUAAGUCAGGGGUGAAAUCCUGGAGCUCAACUCCAGAACUGCCUUUGAUACUGGAGAUCUUGAGUCCGGAAGAGGUAAGUGGAACUGCGAGUGUAGAGGUGAAAUUCGUAGAUAUUCGCAAGAACACCAGUGGCGAAGGCGGCUUACUGGUCCGGAACUGACGCUGAGGCACGAAAGCGUGGGGAGCAAACAGGG
This 254-nucleotide ribosomal RNA is filed under the name uncultured bacterium. RNAcentral describes it as "partial 16S ribosomal RNA". It matches the Rfam family "Bacterial small subunit ribosomal RNA", at positions 524 to 777 of the family's 1533-position model. The record is from RNAcentral.